Molecule: long non-coding RNA, 1131 nt
Filed under: Gallus gallus (chicken)
Lineage: Eukaryota; Metazoa; Chordata; Aves; Galliformes; Phasianidae
Description: long non-coding RNA NONGGAT008358
Source: RNAcentral
ACUGGCUUUACUUUUUUAUUGUUAUCGUUAUGGUCCUUUCAGAUGGUAUUGUCCUUUGCAACAGUUUAUUGCCCUGAUUUGAAAAAGAGUCCAAAUGGAGCAACUGGAAUGGACCUUCAUGCUGAACUUCAGCCCUUCUUCCCAUCCAAACCCAAGUCUUCUGCUCCUCCAAAGGCACAGCUUGCCUCUGUAGCUUCUCUUGACACUGCCGAGGCCGCAGGGAGCUCGGGGCUGUCCACACAGCAGCUCAGUGAACACCAGUCACAGUCCUGCCCUCUUCUUUAGUGCUCACCUGGAGGAGGCAAGGAGCUCUAGGCGAUCUGCUGGACUCAUUCUUUCAUCCCAGCCACAGCAGCUCAGUGGACACCAGUCCCAGUCCUGCUUUCUUCCUCAGGGCUCACCUGGAGGCUGCAGGGAACUUGAGGCUUUCUGCUGGAUGACUCCUCUUGUCUCAGCACAGCCCCAUGGACACCAGUCCAAGUCCUUCCCUUUUCCUCAGAGCUUGGGAAAGAAGAGGGAAGAGGUCCUGGGGAAAGAUGAGGAAUGGGGAAGGAAGGGGUAGGGAGCAGCAGCCGUCGCAGGGGCUCUCUGGCGGAUGGUGACACUUCAACGCCGAGGUGGAAAUCGAGAGCCCCUGGUGAGCCGCCAACGGAUGUGACGACGUCUCCGGGCAAGCAGGAUGUUAUAGGAUUUGCCCGAGCCCGAUGCAGAUGGAUCCACCUCCAUUGGCUCUUCCUGCAGAGGUAGAUCCACCUCCAUGGGCUCGACGUCGUCUGCAGGUGGAUCAAUUUCCAUUGGUUCAGGCCUGCUGCCGCUCCCCUGAAGCUUAAGCUUCUUUGUUGGAGGAGGAUCCAUCCUCCUCCAGAAAGGUGGGAGGGAGGGAGAGAGGGAGAGCUCUAUAUAAGUCGCUUCUUGGGUCAGCAGCCACAAGACGCAGGUCAGGCAAGGACUGGCGUUCCGUUGCCAGGGACCCCGUACACACAGCGGUCGGCAGGGAGGUGCCUCGUGACAUCAUCACGGCGUGGCACUGUGUCCCUAAGGAUGGCCCAUGAUGACCAAAACGUGGCUGUGUCGGGCAAGGGGAGGCUGUGGCUUGAGGGAUGGCCUGGUUGCCAUUCAGUGGGGUUUUGC